GGUGCUGUGGCUUAGUUGGUCAAAGUGCCUGUCUAGUAAACAGGAGAUCCUGGGUUUAAAUCCCAGCAGUGACU
This 74-nucleotide transfer RNA is filed under the name Pleuronectes platessa (European plaice). It matches the Rfam family "tRNA". Rfam says of the family: Transfer RNA (tRNA) molecules are approximately 80 nucleotides in length. Their secondary structure includes four short double-helical elements and three loops (D, anti-codon, and T loops). Further hydrogen bonds mediate the characteristic L-shaped molecular structure. tRNAs have two regions of fundamental functional importance: the anti-codon, which is responsible for specific mRNA codon recognition, and the 3' end, to which the tRNAs corresponding amino acid is attached (by aminoacyl-tRNA synthetases). tRNAs cope with the degeneracy of the genetic code in two manners: having more than one tRNA (with a specific anti-codon) for a particular amino acid; and 'wobble' base-pairing, i.e. permitting non-standard base-pairing at the 3rd anti-codon position. The record is from Rfam by way of RNAcentral. Lineage: Eukaryota; Metazoa; Chordata; Actinopteri; Pleuronectiformes; Pleuronectidae.